AAGCAUCCAGAGAUGGAUGUGUCUCUUCGGAGACGGUAUGACAGGUGCUGCAUGGCUGUCGUCAGCUCGUGCCGUGAGGUGUUGGGUUAAGUCCCGCAACGAGCGCAACCCUAUCUUUAGUUGCCAUCAGUUCGGCUGGGCACUCUAUGGAGACUGCCACCUAAGUGGAGGAAGGUGGGGAUGACGUCAAGUCAGCAUGGCCCUUACGUCCGGGGCUACACACGUGCUACAAUGGCCGGUACAAAGGGUUGCGAAGCCGUGAGGUGGAGCGAAUCUCAAAAAGCCGGCCUCAGUUCGGAUUGGAGGCUGCAACUCGCCUCCAUGAAGUCGGAAUCGCUAGUAACCGCAGAUCAGCUACGUUGCGGUGAAUACGUUCCCGGGCCUU
Molecule: ribosomal RNA, 385 nt
Filed under: uncultured Geobacter sp.
Lineage: Bacteria; Pseudomonadati; Thermodesulfobacteriota; Desulfuromonadia; Geobacterales; Geobacteraceae
Description: bacterial SSU rRNA
Rfam family: Bacterial small subunit ribosomal RNA
Source: RNAcentral